UACAGAGGUCCCAAGCGUUGUUCGGAUUCACUGGGCGUAAAGGGUGCGUAGGCGGUCGGGUAAGUCUGGCGUGAAAUCUCCAAGCCUAACUUGGAAACUGCGUUGGAUACUAUCCGGCUCGAGGAAUGGAGGGGAGACUGGAAUACUUGGUGUAGCAGUGAAAUGCGUAGAUAUUAAGUGGAACACCAGUGGCGAAGGCGAGUCUCUGGACAUUUCCUGACGCUGAGGCACGAAAGCCAGGGGAGCAAACGGG
Molecule: ribosomal RNA, 253 nt
Filed under: uncultured bacterium
Lineage: Bacteria
Description: partial 16S ribosomal RNA
Rfam family: Bacterial small subunit ribosomal RNA
Source: RNAcentral